Pyrgilauda ruficollis (rufous-necked snowfinch) is the source of this 654-nucleotide long non-coding RNA. RefSeq lists it as uncharacterized. Lineage: Eukaryota; Metazoa; Chordata; Aves; Passeriformes; Passeridae. The record is from RefSeq and is a predicted model, not a curated record. The transcript has 4 exons.
GGGAGCGCGGCCGCGUUCCGGGCCGCACGGUGCGGCUGGGGCCGCCGGGCCGCCCGCGUCACCCCCUGCGCGAGCUCCCCGGAGGCGGUGGGGAGCGGCUUGUGGCCGGUGUUGCUGGCCGGAGGCGGCCGCUCAGGAGUUUUUAGACUGCAGCAAAAUGCAGAUGACUUGACCGUGAAAACUUUUGUCGUCUCUGAAAGUAAUAUUUUAUGAGCUACAGUUUUAUCAGUGCUGCGUGCUCUUACUUCAGCACAUUAUCCAUCUUGUGUGGAGCUGCAGGUGGAGCCAAAAUCUGCUGCUGCUUCCCACACAAUCCAGUGGCACCAGUGUCCCUGCCCGGUCCAGCCACCUUGGGGAAGGAAUGAAGAACCUGCUGAAGGUGGAUCUUCAUCGGGGUGGGACAAGUGAGGAUGUGAGCUGAAGGUGAACCAGGAUUGGAUCCAGCACCCUGCAGGAUCAGACACUGAACCAUCUGGAACAUCCACCUCCAAACCUGGAGCUGCAAACCCACUCCUGCAGCCAGCAACCCUGCAAGUCCAGCAGGUAAUCCCAGCCAGAGCCCAGCAGAGCCAGGAGGCCCCAGAUCCACUGCACAUUCCCAGCCUGGACAUGUGGAACAUCAGCCAGUGUCACCACAGGCACCUGGGGGACACU